GACGAACGCUGGCGGCGUGCUUAACACAUGCAAGUCGAACGGAAAGGCCCUGCUUUUGUGGGGUGCUCGAGUGGCGAACGGGUGAGUAACACGUGAGUAACCUGCCCUUGACUUUGGGAUAACUUCAGGAAACUGGGGCUAAUACCGGAUAGGAGCUCCUGCUGCAUGGUGUGGGUUGGAAAGUUUCGGCGGUUGGGGAUGGACUCGCGGCUUAUCAGCUUGUUGGUGGGGUAGUGGCUUACCAAAGCUUUGACGGGUAGCCGGCCUGAGAGGGUGACCGGCCACAUUGGGAUUGAGAUACGGCCCAGACUCCUACGGAAGGCAGCGGUGAGGAGUAUUGCGCGAUGGGCGGAAGCCUGAUGCAGCAUCGCCGCGUGCGGGAUGACGGCCUUCGGGUUGUAAACCGCUUUCGCCUGUAACGAAGCGUGAGUGACGGUAAUGGGUAAAGAAGCACCGGCUAACUACGUG
This 468-nucleotide ribosomal RNA is filed under the name uncultured bacterium. RNAcentral's name for it is "partial 16S ribosomal RNA". It matches the Rfam family "Bacterial small subunit ribosomal RNA", at positions 28 to 507 of the family's 1533-position model. The record is from RNAcentral.